UACGUAGGGGGCAAGCGUUGUCCGGAUUUAUUGGGCGUAAAGAGCGUGUAGGCGGCUAGGUAGGUCCGUUGUGAAAACUCGAGGCUCAACCUCGAGACGUCGGCGGAAACCAUCUGGCUAGAGUCCGGAAGAGGAGAGUGGAAUUCCUGGUGUAGCGGUGAAAUGCGCAGAUAUCAGGAAGAAUAUCCGUGGCGAAGGCGGCUCUCUGGGACGGUACUGACGCUGAGACGCGAAAGCGUGGGGAGCGAACAGG
This 253-nucleotide ribosomal RNA is filed under the name uncultured bacterium. Its description in RNAcentral is "partial 16S ribosomal RNA". It matches the Rfam family "Bacterial small subunit ribosomal RNA", at positions 524 to 776 of the family's 1533-position model. The record is from RNAcentral.